RNAcentral lists this ribosomal RNA (242 nucleotides) under bacterium E1R2prin. Its description in RNAcentral is "partial 16S ribosomal RNA". It matches the Rfam family "Bacterial small subunit ribosomal RNA", at positions 591 to 833 of the family's 1533-position model. The record is from RNAcentral.
GGUGUUAAAUCCCGGGGCUCAACCCCGGAUCGCACUGGAAACUGGGUGACUUGAGUGCAGAAGAGGAGAGUGGAAUUCCACGUGUAGCGGUGAAAUGCGUAGAUAUGUGGAGGAACACCAGUGGCGAAGGCGACUCUCUGGUCUGUAACUGACACUGAGGCGCGAAAGCGUGGGGAGCAAACAGGAUUAGAUACCCUGGUAGUCCACGCCGUAAACGAUGAGUGCUAGGUGUUAGAGGUUUC